GGAUAAAGCCUUGGGAAACUUGGGUCUAAUACCCGGAUAGGACACUGUUUAGGGUCAGUUGUGGAAAGUUUUUUCGGUGCAAGAUGAGCUCGCGGCCUAUCAGCUUGUUGGUGGGGUAAUGGCGCUACCAAGGCGUCGACGGGUAGCCGGCCUGAGAGGGUGUACGGCCACAUUGGGACUGAGAUACGGCCCAGACUCCUACGGGAGGCAGCAGUGGGGAAUAUUGCACAAUGGGCGGAAGCCUGAUGCAGCGACGCCGCGUGGGGGAUGAAGGCCUUCGGGUUGUAAACUCCUUUCGACAGGGACGAAGCGUAAGUGACGGUACCUGUAUAAGAAGCACCGGCUAACUACGUGCCAGCAGCCCGGUAAUACGUAGGGUGCGAGCGUUGUCCGGAAUUACUGGGCGUAAAGAGCUCGUAGGUGGUUUGUCGCGUCGUCUGUGAAAUUCCGGGGCUUAACUCCGGGCGUGCAGGCGAUACGGGCUGACUUGAGUGCUGUAGGGGAGACUGGAAUUCCUGGUGUAGCGGUGAAAUGCGCAGAUAUCAGGAGGAACACCGAUGGCGAAGGCAGGUCUCUGGGCAGUAACUGACGCUGAGGAGCGAAAGCAUGGGUAGCGAACAGGAUUAGAUACCCUGGUAGUCCAUGCCGUAAACGGUGGGCGCUAGGUGUAGGGGGCUUCCACGUCUUCUGUGCCGUAGCUAACGCAUUAAGCGCCCCGCCUGGGGAGUACGCCGCAAGGCUA
RNAcentral lists this ribosomal RNA (742 nucleotides) under uncultured Actinomycetes bacterium. RNAcentral's name for it is "bacterial SSU rRNA". It matches the Rfam family "Bacterial small subunit ribosomal RNA", at positions 139 to 896 of the family's 1533-position model. Lineage: Bacteria; Bacillati; Actinomycetota; Actinomycetes. The record is from RNAcentral.